Molecule: ribosomal RNA, 1075 nt
Filed under: Methylobacterium planeticum
Lineage: Bacteria; Pseudomonadati; Pseudomonadota; Alphaproteobacteria; Hyphomicrobiales; Methylobacteriaceae
Description: Methylobacterium sp. YIM 132548 partial 23S ribosomal RNA
Rfam family: Bacterial large subunit ribosomal RNA
Source: RNAcentral
GAGCGAUCAAGUGCCUUAAGAGCAUUCGGUGGAUGCCUUGGCGCUGAGAGGCGAUGAAGGACGUGGUACGCUGCGAUAAGCCUUGGGGAGCUGCGAACGAGCUUUGAUCCAGGGAUUUCCGAAUGGGGAAACCCACCUUCGACCCUUCGUAUUGCGAGGCUGCGGGGCAACCCGUGGUCUGGCACUACGAUGGGUCGCAUGAAGGUAUCAGACCCUGAAUCCAUAGGGGUUUGAAGCGAACCCGGGGAACUGAAACAUCUAAGUACCCGGAGGAAAGGACAUCAACGAGACUCCGUCAGUAGUGGCGAGCGAACGCGGAUCAGGCCAGCGCCUGGAAUGAGUUUACCGGAACGGUCUGGAAUGGCCGGCGAGAUGGGUGACAGCCCCGUACGGGACGGACGAAUUCCAGGACACGAGUAGGGCGGGACACGUGAAAUCCUGUCUGAACAUGGGGGGACCACCCUCCAAGCCUAAGUACUCCUCAGCGACCGAUAGCGAACCAGUACCGUGAGGGAAAGGUGAAAAGCACCCCGACGAGGGGAGUGAAACAGUACCUGAAACCGGAUGCUUACAAACAGUGGGAGCCCAAGAUCCGUUCUGGGUGACCGCGUACCUUUUGUAUAAUGGGUCAGCGACUUAAAGUAGUGGGCAAGCUUAAGCCGAUAGGUGGAGGCGCAGCGAAAGCGAGUCUGAACAGGGCGUUCAGUCCGCUGCUUUAGACCCGAAACCGAGUGAUCUAGCCAUGUGCAGGAUGAAGGUGGGGUAACACCCACUGGAGGUCCGAACCAGUGCCCGUUGAAAAGGUCUUGGAUGACGUGUGGCUAGGGGUGAAAGGCCAAUCAAACUCGGAAAUAGCUGGUUCUCCGCGAAAGCUAUUUAGGUAGCGCCUCGCGUGCUCGAUCUUCGGAUCGACGAUAUGCCUUGCGGGGUAGAGCACUGGAUGGGCUAGGGCCGCCCACAGCGGUACCGCACUCAACCAAACUCCGAAUACGCAAGAGCACUGCGCGGGAGACACACGGCGGGUGCUAACGUCCGUCGUGGAGAGGGAAACAACCCUGACCUACAGCUAAGGCCC